Myxocyprinus asiaticus (Chinese sucker) is the source of this 1796-nucleotide long non-coding RNA. RefSeq lists it as uncharacterized. NCBI's taxonomy places the organism in Eukaryota, Metazoa, Chordata, Actinopteri, Cypriniformes, Catostomidae. The transcript has 2 exons. The record is from RefSeq and is a predicted model, not a curated record.
UGAUUUCAAUUAAAUUGGGCACACAGGGAUAAAGAAAGUGUCGACAAGAGAGGAGAAUAUAUAUCUGUUAAAACGAGAUGCAUGUUUGAAUGUGUGCUGCGGGUUGAUAAAAGAUUAAAAGCACAGAACAUUAGUUUGUCGGCACUUUGUUGAACAACCAGUUCAGCCAUGCCGUUCAGCUGAGAACCUCUCUGAAACCUGCUGUUGUCUGUCUUGCUGUAACACACGAUAAAGGUUCGGGUAUGGAAGGAGGAGACGGGGAAGCAGUGGCACACUUCAGGACUCCUCCAGACUGAAUCAAUGCUGACCUGAACUGAAUCUGAAACUGGGCAUGUGUUCCCUGCACACAUGACCUCUAUCAAAAAGCCCACACUGUCAAUGUCACAGGCUAAGAUGGUUGACAUUUUAAAGUCUUACAUGGACUUGACACCCACACUCAUGCGUGCACAUACGCUGAUUUAUGCCAGCACUCAACAUCUUAAUAUAUCAGAAAUGUGUUUUGAUCAUUUGUGGUGUUUUUGUCCAAAGUAAGAGGUCAUUGUGUUUUUUGUUUAUUUGUUUUCUUGUAUGUAUUUUUCUGUUUAACAUGUCUGUUUAAUAUAUCAUACAUUUUCAAAUAAUGCCACAACACAUUGUCAUUUCAGUCAAAUUACCUUUAUUUCUUGAACAUGCUACCAAACCAUCCAUUUUGCUGUGUUACAUUUCCAGUUCACAUGCUGUACAACCAAACAUUGCAUCUGCUCUCAAUCAGUUCUUAAAGUAACAGCCAUACCCCUCAAAUUGGGCCGUAGCAUUUGUUAAUGUUGUCAGAGGGGGGGAAGUUAAAGGUGCACUCAGCGAUUCCUGAGAAACACUGUUGAUAUUCAAACUCAACUGCCAAAUCAAACACACCCCUCCCUUCAGUGCUCCUUUGGAAGCUCCAAGCCCCAAAAUCAUGCAUGCAAAUUCAUUCCUUUUACCUCUCGGAUGUCUCUCCACCGCUGAAAAGCCUCGCCGAUGUUGACAUGGCUCCUAGCCCUCGACUCAUCAUAAUCCUUCUUUUUUAGUUUAUAUUCAUCUGACCUUUUUCUCUUGGUCUGUUUCUCAGCCAUUUGUCCUCCUUGGAGUUUAGAAAGUGCACAUCAGCAGAUUUGCCAUCGCUCUUCUAAUGAAUUUCCCUCUCACUCUGCCCCCAUCCUGUGCACGCGCAAGAACCACCCCCUGUUGCUGAUUGGCUGGAGUAGCAUUGUGUGGAUCGGUCCGAUCCACUUUGUUUUUGUCCUAUUUACAGAGCCAGAGCUGUGCACAAAUACUAAAUUUGUUUUCAGCCCACCCACAGAAUGGAGAGUUAGCAGACUGUGAGGAGAUAUUUGCAGAAUUUUACAAAUAGUGUAUUGGAUUAGAAUUACUGAGUGCACCUUUAAUAACAGUGGGUUUUUGUCUUUAGUUUUGCUGUUAAGUACUCUUUCUGUAACAAAUCUUGUAUUGUCUGUGUGCGUACUGGUUGGUUUGUCAUUCUUUGUACUUUAUUGUGGAUAUUUGAUUGUUUUGUUUGUUUUCAUUCCUCCUUGUGGAAAUUGGUUCAUUCCGGGGGAGGAGCUAGACCCUUUAAAACAGGGAGCUUUAGAGCUCGUGUGAGUUCCAUCAAAUUGAAACUUGAAUGUUAACAGUGUUGUGAAUUUGGGCCAUUUGCUGGUUUAGCCAUUGUUGCAUUUUUUUGUUUUUGUACAGUUUUUUUUUGUUUGUUUGUUUCUAUUUUAUAUUUUCACUGUAAAUAAUUUUUGGCACCUUAAUAAACACAAUUUUGGGAUCCACUU